UUGGAGGGCAAGUCUGGUGCCAGCAGCCGCGGUAAUUCCAGCUCCAAUAGCGUAUAUUAAAGUUGUUGCAGUUAAAAAGCUCGUAGUUGAACUUCGGGGUCUACCCAUUGGUCAGGCUUAAUUGUCUGCACUGGUGAGAUGGAUCUCUACCUUCUGAGGAACUUUCAUGCCAUUUAUUUAGUGUGAUGGGAAAUCAGGACUGUUACUUUGAAAAAAUUAGAGUGUUUAAAGCAGACUAUCGUCUGAAUACAUUAGCAUGGAAUAAUGAAAUAGGACGGACUGAUUCUAUUUCGUUGGUUUCUAGGAUCACCGUAAUGAUUAAUAGGGAUAGUUGGGGGCAUUAGUAUUCAAUUGUCAGAGGUGAAAUUCUUGGAUUUAUUGAAGACUAACUACUGCGAAGGCAUUUGCCAAGGAUGUUUUCAUUAAUCAAGAACGAAAGUUAGGGGAUCGAAGACGAUCAGAUACCGUCGUAGUCUUAACCAUAAACUAUGCCGACUAGGGAUCGGACGAAGUUAAUUUUAUAAUGACGCGUUCGGCGCCUUACGGGAAAC
This 551-nucleotide ribosomal RNA is filed under the name uncultured Diversispora. RNAcentral's name for it is "SSU rRNA". It matches the Rfam family "Eukaryotic small subunit ribosomal RNA", at positions 548 to 1098 of the family's 1831-position model. Lineage: Eukaryota; Fungi; Glomeromycota; Glomeromycetes; Diversisporales; Diversisporaceae. The record is from RNAcentral.